Molecule: small RNA, 47 nt
Filed under: Pedosphaera parvula Ellin514
Lineage: Bacteria; Pseudomonadati; Verrucomicrobiota; Pedosphaerae; Pedosphaerales; Pedosphaeraceae
Description: Acido-Lenti-1 RNA
Rfam family: Acido-Lenti-1 RNA
Source: Rfam by way of RNAcentral
CCAGGGGCUUACGCGCCCUGGCUAAUGACUGGCGUCCCUUUGGGACU